Lemur catta (Ring-tailed lemur) is the source of this 899-nucleotide long non-coding RNA. RefSeq lists it as uncharacterized. The record is from RefSeq and is a predicted model, not a curated record. Lineage: Eukaryota; Metazoa; Chordata; Mammalia; Primates; Lemuridae. The transcript is spliced from 3 exons.
AUGAACUCCCCUUAGGAUACUAACACUAUAAAAAAAUGAAAUUAGUAUUGUACAACACAAAAAAAUGAGAGCCACUGGCCCCGUCAUCGGUAGGCAGAGGUGGCCUCCUCUGUCCAGAUUCAAGGUGGCUGUGGCCAACCCCUCUCUUCGGAACAUAGAGGACUCUUUCUUCCUCCACUAUCCUCAGCCUGGAGGCUUUGGCGAAAAUAAGACACAGGUGCAGCCUCGUUCCACCUGUUCCCCUUGCUGAAUUCCACUCACGCGGAGCGUGUGCCACGUGCCGGGCACGGGCUAAAUGCCGGGAUUACCAAGAACAGCAAACACAGUCGCACCCUCAAAGGCUCGGAGCCCCGGCAGGGCUCAGAAUGGAGGAAUGAACAGAGAGGCCGUGGGCUGGUGGCUAAGGCUCUGACUUCAGAAGAACUACUGUACAUUUGCAUGAAGGUUCAAAUUCUCUGGGCUUCCGAAAUCUUGCAGAAGCAAUCCUUGCCUAGCUUUGGGAAGAUCUGCCCACUAUAAAUUAUGCCGGAGUUGCCAGAGUACGACUUCCUGUACCCAUCUGUCCUGGAGCUAAGUCACAUCGUCACGUAGUGAAAUGUGGUGAUAAACAUGGACAUCUUAGAGGGAAGGGAUUCCAGAAGGGGCCACAGCUCCAGCAGAGCCACGGUGAAAUUCCUGUGUUGGGAGAACAAUGCACUGUGGAUUGAACAGAAACUUGGAGCCCAUGGGGCUAGGACACGAGGUAAGCAGGGACAGGUAGGCUGAGGCCGAGCAAAGAGACCUCUUGAAUACCAGGCAGGAGAGUUUAGACUUUGUCCUGUGCACAGUGGUAUCUAAUCAUGACUUUUCCACCUUUCUUGUGAAGGUGCUCAGGAAAUUUCCUCCCCCAAAUAUAACUC